CCAACGGCUCUUUUAAGAGCCACCUACUUCCGUCUGAAGGGUCAAA
Non-coding RNA from Poecilia formosa (Amazon molly), 46 nucleotides. Lineage: Eukaryota; Metazoa; Chordata; Actinopteri; Cyprinodontiformes; Poeciliidae. The record is from Rfam.